RNAcentral lists this transfer RNA (76 nucleotides) under Candidatus Peregrinibacteria bacterium. RNAcentral's name for it is "tRNA-Pro". It matches the Rfam family "tRNA". From Rfam's summary of the family: Transfer RNA (tRNA) molecules are approximately 80 nucleotides in length. Their secondary structure includes four short double-helical elements and three loops (D, anti-codon, and T loops). The record is from RNAcentral. Lineage: Bacteria; Candidatus Peregrinibacteriota.
CGGGGUGUAGGUCAGUUGGUAGACCGCCAGGCUGGGGGUCUGGAAGCCGAGAGUUCGAGUCUCUCCACCCCGACCA